CCAUAGCAUGUACACCCCAAAUUCUAGAUAUUCCAUUUAUUUUGCUUAAUGUCUAUCUCCCUCCUGGAGAAUGUUAGCUCUGUGAGGGCAGGGCUUUCCAUUGUUUAUUGCUACAUCUCCAGCACAGAGCAGUGCUUAGUGCAUUGUUGGAAUGAAAGAUACAGACUUCAGGAGCUAGUCUGUGUGAGGCAAGGGGUGCUAGGAAAACAUUAAAACAGUUUUGCCCUGCUUAUCCCUGUUUGGUUUGCAGCAAGUUUCUGACUCCCUCUUGGUGUGGGCAAUCAUCUAGCCCUGUCCUUGAUCUUACAUAUGAGUGUGAGGGUCUUUUUUUUUUGCUCUAAAAUUAUGGGAUGAUUAUGCAAAAGUUGCUGUACUGCACUCAGAGCCCGCAAGUCCUCUAGUUAUUGUGAGGCAGGAGGCGGUGCUUCUUGGCUGGGAAAGUCACUGGCCACAAGAUGGGUAAGAUGUGAUGAGGCAGACAGUGAUGCUGCGUUCAGGAGAUGUCUGGAGAUGGUGGAAGGCAGGUCAGACAAUGACAGAAGGGUCCUUGAGGGGUAUGAUGGGAAACAAAUCUAAAAAGAUAGGUUGAAGCCAUGUUUGCAGAGAUUUGUCUCCAGGUCAGAGUCCAAACUCCUUAGUCUGGAAUUUCGUGGGCGAGGCGCAAAUGAUUUCGAGCAGGAAAGGACCCAAAUGGUAUUUUAGAAAGAUUCAUCUAUGCAGGAUGGAUUAGCAGGAGGUGAUUCUGGAGUCAGAAGACUGUUAAAGAUUUUUAGUCUUGGGUGGUAAGGGCCUGGACUCUCAUGGGGACAGUAGGACUACAGCUGGAAGAACAAAUGUGAGAUGCGUUCUGAGGGAACUUGGAAGAAGACCUGGAACUAGAAGGCUGGAAGUAAAGAAAAGCAAAAAGAGAAAAGUCACUUAGAUACACAGCCAAGAAUGAAAGGAAGAAAGAGGAAGGCCAGAGAGAAAGCUGCCUUGUGGAGGAAGAUGAGAGUUGCAGGGACUAUAUCUUAGUGAGUUGGAGCCGCUAUAACAAAAGUACUUUAGAUUGGGGGACUUCGAACAGUUAUUCCUCGCAGUUCUGGAGGCUGGGAAGUCCAAGAUCAAGGUGCCAGCAGAUAACGGUGUCUGGUGGAAGCUGACUCCUGGCUGGUAACAGCCACCUUCCCACUGUGUCCUCACAUGGAAGAGAGAGGUAGUGUGUCUCUUCCUCUUCCACUCCGGGGACCCCACCCUCAUGACCACCUGUAACCCUAGUUACCGCCCAAAGGCCACCUCCAAAUUCUGUCCCAUUGGCGAUGCGGGUUUCAACAUGUGAAUUUCUGGUGGGCGCCCACAUCAGUCCGUAGCACAGACUCUCGGUGUUCCCCAGGUGAGGAGACUCAGGGUUGGGGUCCCUUUCUGAGUGUUCCCGAGCAAAGCACCAAAGUUCAAGAGAAUAUUCUUUUCCACACGGGAAGAUCUGUGUUGUCUGAAAGCAGGACUGUAGGAAGAGAUCAAACAUGCUGGGUAAGGAGCAAGCCGGAGAGGUCGUCCUUUAGGAGGAGAGAGGUCUCUCGCUGGCGGAGACAGAAAUGUGGCCUGGCUGGAGCAAAAGAGCAAACAUUCAGAGGCAGAGGUCAGGAAACACGGGGGAGCUUAUUGCUAGGUGAUGCUUCCCAGGGAAGAAGGAAGCACAGUUAGCUGGCAAGGGUGGGAUUGGGGCUUGUUUAAGAGGGGGAGGAACCGGGCAAAGGACGGUGAUUGCAGAGCAAGUGCCUGAGCUGAGUCUUCGUGACCAGCAAGGUUAGAUAGCCCUCACCUCUGCCCCGACUCUCCGUGCCCGUACCCUGCUUUAGUUGAUUGCUUGCAUUUAUCGCUAUGUAAAAUCAUCUUAUUUAUUAUUUGAAUGUUAACUUAUGCCUUCCUCUUUAGAAUGGAAAUAAGGAGAAUCUAACGUGUGAAUGACGACAACGGUGAGGUUACUGGCCAGGAGCAAAGCCCGGGUGCCAAACGCACUAGGAUCCAGUGGAACCUUCCAGCCGUUGAUCUUACCAUCUUCUCACUGUUACUCACUCCUCUCCUGUUCUUGCUUCCUUCAGAGCCUGCUUAAAAUCCAUGGUCAAUCACUGAAAUCAUUUUCUUGCCCCUCUUCCUUGUGGGUGUGGUUUCCAAACCGUAACCCUGAUGUAAUGUCACUCUUUACCCAACCCAACCCUCUACCCAUCUGGCACCGCACAAGCUUACAUGGUACAACGAUCCUGUGUCCAACAAAAAAUACACGUACCCUUUCUACAGAAGAGGGUGCAAGGUCCCUGGGUGAUGUUCAGUCUUGCUAUCCUAUAACUUAAAUAAUGUGAUAUAAAGUGAGCUCCUGUUAAUAUCUCUGUAUUAGAUGAUAAGGGGAAAAGAGAAGAAAAUAAAAAUGUUUGCUACAUACACAUACAGAGACGUAUUCAUAACAAAGUUAGGAAGAAAUACUUACAACAAUGAUAGUCCUUCAUAACAAUGAUGGGCUUCACUGGUCAUGUGAUUGUAGCUGAUAUUUAUAACUACCUUAUUCCACUAUUCUUUCCAUAUUUCCUCAGCAGGCACCUUCUAGUCAUGCUUCUUUGCCUGGUGAGGUGAUCCAAACCUGCAUUCCUGAAAGGACGGGUCCUGCCUGAAUUGGAUUGUAGUUUUCCACAGGGCAGGGUAGUACUGAGACCCUAAACAAUCUCCUGUAUUCCAGCCUCAAACUCUUGCUCAGCUCUGCUGUGGAGUAGAGUCCAAUCUCCCCUUGGGAGUCGAGAUCAACCACCCUCGCCAGUACAACAACGCCUGACUCUGCCUGUCAAUUCAGCGGCAUGAGGGUCUCAAAGUGGCCGAGUGGGAAUACUCUUAACUUCCAGUUUAAUGGAGUCACUAUUGUAUCUCCUGGUGGAAGCACUCCUGCCUUUGGAACUCAGACCUCUAGACCAGCAGAGCGUAAGGUCAUGGGAACAGGAAGCAAAACUUUUGCUAGCGGAUCAGUAGGGGUAAGAGUGAGUGGUACCACUGCCAUUUCCACCUCUUGAUUCCUGGACCCAUGAAUCUUGGCUAUGGGAGAGAUAGCACCAUAGUUUAAAAGCUGAUUUAGAGCAUAAACAGACUCCUGAGAACAUUACCCCAGGCUUGCAAGGUUAGGGAACCAAGGUGGGAAUUCUGCCAGCUGCUGAGUAGAUCUAUUCCAAUUUUGCUUUUCAGACUGGGUGAAAUAAUCACAGGAUGGGUUCAGAGAUGCACUGGACCCACUGUGAGAUGUACCUGAACUAAAACUCCAUUGACCACCUGACCUCCAUAAGCCCCUACCCUGACUAGUGGACCACAGGGACAUUUUGGGUCUCCUGGAAUUAGUGUCAUUCUGAGCUGGUGUCCAGUAAUUUCCCAAAGUCUGAUUAUUUUCUUUCUCCAAUGCACAGUCAUUGGUGAAAGGCUGUAGGUGCCUUUGGGGGAAGGCUAGGAGAAGGAUUAACGGUAUACACUUUUGACAGUGUCCUGGGGUCUUUCCUCAAUAGGAAUGAAGGGAAGGUGGUCUUCCCUUCAUUCAAGGGGUUCUGAUUCUGUAAAACGGCUCAAGCUGGGGAAUUGAUUAGGGAGCCACGACUCUUUAUUUUGGUGAUUCAACUUAGCCUUCUGUUCACUCAGCCUAAAACUCCUCUGCUUAUACAGGUCAAGCAAGCCUUUUGUAGACGGCGCAUCGCUUUCUCCUCUGGCACACCGUGAUCCCCUGCCAGCACCAUAGGUCUCUGUGACUCAGGCUCUUCUGAUCGCAUAUUUGUCUCCACUGUCCAUUAUGGUCGUCACACCCACCUUGUCUUCAGCAAUUAAGGGCCAACAUUUGGUCCCUGCCACUCCAAGAUCCAAUGAUCCCUCUUGUAUUGAAGGAUCCCAGCUCACUGGCAGCAGAUUCCACUGUAACUUCUCACCAUCAGAGAUGGACAAGCACAGAGCAAUUCAAGGAUGCUAGGCUCCCCUCGUAUAUUCUCACAGUCGUGGUGAUGGGCGUGUCCCCUGGACCCUCCUGCAAACUUCCAACACAGUUCCACGAGCAGCCUUUACCACUGAAGCAUGGGAUCAUGGAAGAUAGCCCUGAAGAUGGCAGCCAGAUGUUCCUCUGGGAAGCCUCCCACCUGCAUGGUGUGUCUGCCCUGCAUUUUGUUUGGAGCUCCAGGGUUAGCCCUGCAUAGAAUCCUUCCGAGGGGACGGCAAUCCGAACCUGGUGACGUCAGGUGGCAGGUGUUAGGGGCUGCUUGGAGUGGCGAGCCACGUGUGCAAAGGGCCAGUUUGCAGGUCCGCCUGUCACUCAACUGGGCCUGUGAGCCCCCGAGGUUGGGGGCCCUGUCGUACUCUUUAUCACCCACUUCUAACUCAGUGUCUGGCACCCUUCAAAUGAAUUCUUCAAAUAAAUGAAUGAAUGGAUGGAUCUAUUGAAAUGAAUGAAUCCUUCAAAUGAAUGGCUCCUUCAAAUGGAUGGAUGGAUGAGGUUAGGAGAUGACUGGUGUGAAAGCAAAGGGAUACAGCCUUUUCAGAGUCCAGAAGACAAUUCUGAGAAAAAUUGGGCUCAGGAAAAAAAAAAAAAAAGGAAGAUUGUCGUGAGCCCGUUUCCUGAUCCGUAAACUGUAAGACCUGGAGAAGCGACCUCUCGUGUUCCUUCCGUGGAUACAGUGGACGCGGACGGGAACUCUCUGGCUUCCUGCUCCAGAACCCCAGGAGACAAAACAGUGCGUUCAACUUGGGCUUCGUCGGUGGGUGUUUCUGUUCUUCUGGUCUUUUCUCUGUUUUCAAGCAGAUCAAAGCACAUCUUGUGAAAUGUUUUGGCCCCGGAUUAGAAUUUAAGAUGUGCAAAGGUCAAGAGUUGACGGUCAUUUAAAAAAAAAAUCAUUUUGACCCUGGGUGAACCAGGGGGGGCCACCACGAGGGUCAGAAGAGGCCAGGUGCAUCCCUGCCAGCCCCCCUGGAGACAUAACGAUGUCCCACGAGGGUCACUGACAGCUCUGCCUCAACCCCCUGCCGAGCCAGAGCACCAAGCCUCCCCCUGUUGACUUAUGGGACUGGCCAGGGCAGUGACAGGAGCCUGGCCCGAGGGAGAGCCUCGCAGAGCACUGCAGAGAAAGGCAACCUUCAGAGACGAGCCACGGUAUUUAUAGUCUCAUUUCCGCGGAGAGCCGUGGGCUCGGGUUCUACACAUCUCAGCAAGUUGAA
This is a long non-coding RNA of Globicephala melas (long-finned pilot whale), 5202 nucleotides long. RefSeq lists it as uncharacterized. Lineage: Eukaryota; Metazoa; Chordata; Mammalia; Artiodactyla; Delphinidae. The record is from RefSeq and is a predicted model, not a curated record.